UAACCCGGCAUCAAGUGUUAUUAUUUUAAUAGUGCGAUUAAAUUCUGGAGUUUUUGUUGUUAUUUAAGAAUAUGUUAUUACAUAACCCAUCGUAGGUAUUAUCCAAAUAUUAUAUUUGUCUGUAUUUUCAGUAUCGGUUGUGCUCUGUAACCGUCCGUAUUAUUUAUAUUGCACGUUUUUUUUCAUUCACCGCAGCCGCGUCCACCAUGUCUGUGUCUAAAUUGGUAAAAAUGGUGAAAUUCAAUAACGGUCAUGUGUACCCUUCGUUGGGCCUGGGAACGUGGCAGGCCACUGCCACUGUUGACGAGUCGGGCCAACAAGCGGUUUACGAAGCUGUUAAAAGUGCAAUAGACAUAGGGUAUCGUCACAUCGACGGUGCUUAUAUCUACAACAAUGAAAAGGCAGUCGGAAGAGCUAUUAAAGAUAAAAUCAAAGAAGGAGCCAUUACGAGAGACGAUAUGUAUAUAACUAGUAAGCUGUGGAACGACAAACACGAACCCGAAUUAGUUCAAACUACUUUGAAAGAUACUUUAAAAGAUUUGGGCUUAGACCACGUCGAUUUGUAUCUUAUUCAUUGGCCAUUUUCCCAAAUUAAAGACAGUGAUGAUAAUCUUGUAGGAAUUGAUAUUCCCAUUACGGAAACGUGGAAAGCAAUGGAAGGGUGUGUUAAAGCUGGACUUACAAAAUCCAUUGGAUUGUCAAACUUCAAUAUUAGACAAGUAAAAGCAAUUUUAGAAGUAGCGACCAUCAAGCCUGUGGUGAACCAGGUUGAAAGCCACCCUUAUUUAACGCAAAAAAAACUCAAAGAAUUUUGUGACAAGAACGACAUACGCCUGACCGCUUACGGGCCGUUGGGAUCGCCUAAAAGGUCUUGGGCAGAUCAGGACGAACUGGCUGUGCUCGAAGAACCUGUUGUGAAAAAAAUCGCAGAAAACCACAAGAAAACGGCGGCUCAGAUAUUAAUUAAAUUCCAACUUCAAAGAGGCCUUUUAGUCAUUCCAAAGUCGGCAAAUCCGGAAAGGCAGAAACUUAACAUGGACGUAUGGGAUUUCGAGUUGAGUGAAGACGAAAUCAAAGAACUAGAAUUUUUGGACAAGAAUAUUCGUUAUUUUCCUUUCAUCUCGGCGAAAGAUUUAAAAGAGUAUCCGUUCCACGAAGAGGCUUAAUGUGUUAAACGACGAUUUAUCAAACAAGUUGACAUAAUAAAAAAAAAAAUGUUUAUUUUAAUAUCAAUGUUGAAUUUAUACAAUUUUAAAAAAAUGUUUAAAGAAACUUGUAACGUUGCUGCCAAAAAUGCCCAUUUGGACUCGGAAAAAAAGGAUUUGUCAAAAAAGAACUCGAGAUUUCUAUUUUUAAAAGCACACAGCCUUUAUUAGCCUACGGUACUUAAACAUUUAUAAAUAUACAUAAAUUAUAUUAAAUAUACAAAGGUAAAAUAAUGGUACUUGCAACAAGAGGAAUUAUAUUGUAAAAGGUUUGGUAAUUUGAUUCGCUAGAAAAAUUAGAGUGGUGUGAAUAGGGACUUUUUUUUUUAUAUAGCGGUUAGUACCACAAAACUUACAAUGUGUUUCUUUUGAUACCCGAGGGAUAUUUGAGCUUAAUGCCAUAUUUUUUAUCGACAUUCAAACAAUGCAUCGGGUCGCAAGUGAUUUAGUGAUUACUAUAUUAUGUGUUAUACUGUGCACUACAUACGAUGGCACUCAAUUGACAGUGGCGGUGGUGGUUUCAAAUCACGUAGUUGUUAAAAUCAAAACUACUUUUCGAACAACGUCUUAUCCAAUUCUCCGUACACUUUUUCAAAUUCUUCUUUGCUGCAACAAUACACCAGCCCGUCGUUAGCGUCGUUGCCCUCGUAGCCAUCGGGACACGUGUUGGGGCAAAUGUACACGUCGUCAGUGAUGUUCAUGAAAGGGUUGUUCAGCCCCAAGUACACUGUGCCAUCGUCGUCGUCCACGUUGUAGACCAGCUUCCAGUAGUACAGAGGCACUGGUAACCUGUAGGGUGGAUCCAGGUGAAUGGGCUGCUGCUCGCCGUCGACGUCUUCCAGCGUGCAAACGCCAUAAGUGCCCGUGACAAUCACGUACCGGGAACUGUCGUUGGACAACUUCAGUCUGGUAUGGUUCUCCAGCUGGGACCACAGUUUGCCGUUGAAUACCUGCCAUUGUGGGGCCACGUUCGCGUAGUAAUAACUGCAAAAUCGUCCGUAAUACGUCACAAAUGAUUGGCCAUAAGGUUUCGUGACAUUUUCGUGUCUUUACUUUGGCACACAACAAGGAAAA
Molecule: RNA transcript, 2279 nt
Organism: Adelges cooleyi (spruce gall adelgid)
Lineage: Eukaryota; Metazoa; Arthropoda; Insecta; Hemiptera; Adelgidae
Gene name: aldo-keto reductase family 1 member B1-like
Exons: 8
Source: RefSeq, a predicted model, not a curated record